Molecule: non-coding RNA, 394 nt
Organism: Macaca mulatta (Rhesus monkey)
Lineage: Eukaryota; Metazoa; Chordata; Mammalia; Primates; Cercopithecidae
Source: RefSeq, a predicted model, not a curated record
UGCUCAGUUUUCAGAGAAAUGGAAUAAUCGUAUUGCUGAUCUACAUAAGCAAGUUGAAGAAUUGUCUGAAAGAAAAUAUGGUAUGUCUAAACUGGAAAAGUCCUGUAAUCCUGUGUUCAUGAGCAUUUACACAGUGGAGUUACUCUUCAUCAUGGGGGUACCGUGGACAGGCCCAGGGCUGCCGACAUGAACGUAUGAAUUCAACAGGUGAAGAUUUACAACUUGAUUAAACAGCUUCAGGAGGUAGACAGAACUGGAAGAACAGUAUUUGUCCUACUUUUGAGAUGCAAGAUUUAUCUGGCGUAAUGCAUUGAACAGAUUAUUAUUGAAGUCUACACCGGUCAACUGAACAAGCAUUCGUCAAAUGUCCAUGAUACAUAGGACAGAAUUUUCU